GCCAGGCGCAGUGGCACAUGCCUGUAAUCCCAGCAGCUCAGGAGGCUGAGGCAGGAUGAUUCCAAGUUUGAAGGAGGUCCUAAGUUUAGUAGGAUCCUGUCUCAA
This 105-nucleotide small RNA is filed under the name Marmota monax (woodchuck). Lineage: Eukaryota; Metazoa; Chordata; Mammalia; Rodentia; Sciuridae. The record is from RNAcentral.